AUGGACAAACGACCACCAAGUGCAAGGGAGGUGCAGAGAAAUUAGAGGAGAAAAAGAUUAAGAAUCAACAAGCGGAGUCCUCAAAAAUUUCGGACAUGUUUGGGGCUGCUUCAACAUCAGCAUUACCUGAAGCCGAGGAGGAGGAGAGGUGGCUGGCUAUACAGAGAAGCAGAAACAACGAUGUCAGGGAAGAAGGCGAGGAGGAGGCGAGUGAGGAAAAGAUGGAAGAGAGAGUAGAUGACGAUGUGAAGAAACACCCCACUGGUCUAGAGAGGUACACACAACUUUCUUCAGGAGCCCUCAAAAGGAAGUCAUCCACUGAAGGUUCUUUACCCCACCUUCUAAACAAACCAAGCUGUGGGAGACUCAAAGAGUGUCCCAGGCAAGUGUGGAUAAAGUAGUCCUCAAAUUCGUUGUCCAAGGCUUGCACACACUACACAUUGUUCAGCAACAGGGCUUCAUUGAUCUUGUGCAACAUCUUCAGCACAAUACUGUUGUAAACAAAGUCACAACAGCCUCUGUUGAAAUGAAAAGAAAACUGAAAGCUGUAGUUAGUGAAAUUGAGUUCAUAGCAACAACAACAGACUGCUGGACGGCACACCAUUGCGGUUUCAUUGGUGUCACUGGUUUAACCCCCAGACCAUGCAGAGAUCCUGUGCUGCCCUGGCUUGCAGUCAGCUUAAAGGGUCACAUACCUUUUCUGCCCUGGCUGGUGACCUAAAUAAUAUUCACAUAGAAUUCAAUAUCAGAGAGAAGAUCGUUCGCACUACAUCUGACAACGGAUCAAACUUCCUGAAAGCCUUCAGAGUUUACUGGCAGACUGACCAGAACAACAAUCCUGAACCUGUAGGAGAGGGUGAUGGAGAAGAGGAUGAUGGUGGCCAAAAUGAUGAUUACGAUGAAGAAGAGGAAAGCAUUGAGGGUGAUGAAUUCGUUGAUGCCAGAGCCCUGUUGGAAGAAGAUGACUACUUGGAAUACCAGCUACUCAAGCACCAUCACUGCACCUGCCUCCUCAAUUUAAUGUCCACAGUUGAUGCUUCAAAAGCAGAGGUCAACCCAUUGUACAAGCGUGUGUCAAGGUCCACAUUUGCCAAAUGCUCUAGCGUGUGAAACAAAAGUUCAAGAUCAACCACCGCAUCUGAAGUAAUUAAGGAACACUGCAAACUCCAACUCGUAAGGUCCGUUGCUACAAGGUGGAAUUCACUCUUCUCAGCCGUAGAAAGAAUAGUGAGAAUAACAAGAGAACAAGGUGAAGGAGCCCUUGCAGCUGUCUGCAGUGAACUAGAUACACCUAAUGGAACUUGGAUUUCUUGCAGAAUAUGCAAAGACAAUGAGCCCAGUUGCAAAGGCACUUGAUGUUCUUCAGGGAGAAACCAGUGUGCAGAUGGGAUGGUUGGUCCCCACCAUAACUCUACUAAGGACCAAGCUCCAGCACCUUCACGUCACCUCCAAGUUCUGUGAGCCUUUGAUUGCUGCAAUUUAAGACCUGCUGGACAAGUUAUGACGAAAAUAUCCUCAAACUUGGUAAGUGUCUCAUUUCUCAACUUCCCCUUAAUUUGUGUAAUUUCUAUGGAGACAGUGAAAUGAGUUUGAAAUUACAUUUAAUGAAACAAACACACGCACACACACACACACACACACACACACUAUAUCAGAAGCCACUUGGACUGUCAGGCUGAGAAUCACAUCAGUGAGGGCUCCCAAUCGCCUGAGGAAGAGGACUUCUUUUCCUCCUUGAAGAAGACCGGCACUCUUGAAACGACCCAGCAGUUGGAUACGUACCUGGGGUGCCCAGGAGAGUGUGAGUGUGGCUAUGCAGUGGCAAAGGAACUUCUACAGGAGCUGCAGGGCUGUGGCAAUGUGAUGGAGGAACUCCAGUACAUGCAGGAACUGGACAUGCCUGUUAACAUGAGAGCCAUAAUUUCAAAGUUACCAUUCCAGAUGAGGGAGUAAUGGAGGACCAUAGCUUACGGCAUAAAUGAAACCACUAACCAGAGAGCUCACUUCAUUGAUCUGGUCACCUUCAUUGAGCGACUUGUCAGCAUUCUUUCUGACCCGUUGCAUAGAGCAUAUGGAAAUAUUGUCACCACAGUACCAUCUAUGGCCUUGUCUGAGGAAGUUAAGGACCCAACAUUGUAUCAAGGGAAAGUAAAGUAAGCUGGAUGCCUUUGCUGUGCUUGAAAAUACUCAUUGGAAGAGUGCAAAAUAUUCACUUUCUGAAGGAAAAAAGAGUUUGCUUUGCAUGCUUAGGUAAUGGUCACAUGGGCAAGGAUUGUGACAGGCACUUGACAUGCAAAGUUUGUGGUCAAACUCAUCCCACUGUGCUACAUACCAUAAGGCAAACUACAGCUAUGGAACUGUUAAAGGAACCAAGUAAUAACCAAUCAUCUUCACAGGAAACAUGUGGACAUACAGGGGGCAGUAAGGAUCAAUUUGUUCUAUCCAUUGUCCCUGUAAAUGGGAAAUCCGCAAAAGGAAACUGCAUCAUUAAAACCUAUGCUUCCACAUUCUGCUUGGAACAUCUAAUGCAGAAGUUGAAUAUUACAGGCAGAAGAACCAACUUCCUGUUGCGCACAAUGGGGCAAGAAACUAUUGUUCCAGCCUAUUCCUUGACUGGUUUGGAGGUAUCUGGUCUGGACAGCAGAUGUCCAGACCAGAUACACCAUAUACUAUAUACUAUGGUCCCAGAGAUCCUCGCACAAAGAAAAUGCCAGUUGCAGCUGAUAACAUGGUGAAGCCUGAAGACCUGGCUAAAUGGCCGUACUUGUCAAAAGUACACAUCACAAGCAUAAAAAGCAAAUGUCAACCUGUUGAUUGGAACCAAUGCUCCCAAGGUAUCGGAAACUUGGGAGGCUGUCAACAGCUGCAGGAAUGGCCAGUAUGCUAUUAGGACAUGGUUCUUUAAAGUAAUUGCAUUGUAUUAAAAUGCGUUCAUUUUCAAUGGGCAUAAAUGCGGCUGAAACAGGUGCAUCCCACAUUUUUCAACAUUAACAUUUUAAUAUGACAUGAUGUUUAUAAAGGUAAGCUCAAAGGGCACAUGGUUGUUGACUGCUCUCGCUUUGACACUCAACGCUGUGAUUCUGGAGUGCAUUGGUACCAAAACCUUGUUCAAAAUGCUGUUUUAUUGUAUAUGGAUUUAACGCUGAAACUGAAAUAAUGGAUGUUUUCAUGCUGCAUGGUAAACCUAAUUAUCUUUCUGCAACACAACAUCAUUUGACGAUUCUUGAACGCUACACAGCAUGUUUACAUUAGGCAGUGCGUCAGCUAGGUCACUCUGGGUUAAACCACCUCAGUAGCUAACAGUAUCAGACUGAGCUCCUUUAACAGUCUACAUUGACGAUGUUUCAUUUACAAAAUAGGUACGGUUCUGCCGGAUGAACCUUUUUUCCAUUUUCUUUGUGUUGGCAUUCUAAACACCAGUCAAUUCAGGAAACAUCCUCUUAGCUAGAACUGACAAUCAAAAUAUAUUCAUCUCUUUUUGAGCAAAAUUCUCAUCACACUCUCGACAGCCAUUUUAAUUCCAGAGCUUGCAUCCCUAUGUGCACUUGUUCCACCAAAACAUGUUCCUUCUGAGGCUAUCUUGCAGAGGCACCCUUGCUGCGUUUGGCUCUUCAUCGUUGCUUGGCGCUGCCCAAGACAAUUGUGAUUGAUUCAAAGAAAUGCCAAUAAACCAGAGCAUGUUUUUUUCUCCUAUCCAGGAAUGUUGUGUGGACUAGCCAGACCUUCCUCUGCUGUGCUUUGUAGAUAGGUCUGUUAAUGCGAGAAUAAUGCAGCAGUAAUCCAAAAAGAUAAUACAAUAGUAAAACCCUGACAGGAAACAUUUUACUUCCCAAUCAAUACUUUUACUUUUAAAACUGUAAGUACAUUUUGUUGAUAAUACUUAUCAUAGUUGUAUUUAAGGUUGUGCUCAUUUUAACUAAUGUAACAUGUGAUAGAAAUUUUCUUGCAGCA
Molecule: long non-coding RNA, 3951 nt
Organism: Perca flavescens (yellow perch)
Lineage: Eukaryota; Metazoa; Chordata; Actinopteri; Perciformes; Percidae
Exons: 3
Source: RefSeq, a predicted model, not a curated record